Molecule: long non-coding RNA, 767 nt
Organism: Homo sapiens (human)
Lineage: Eukaryota; Metazoa; Chordata; Mammalia; Primates; Hominidae
Exons: 3
Source: RefSeq, a predicted model, not a curated record
GGUGUCUUCCCUCCACUCCAUCUUAGCCCCCAGGGAUGGACAUCCAGGGGAAGCAGCCCCACUUCCUGUGUCUACUCCUCAUGGACAUUGUGGGAGCUCCAUUUUCUUCAACAGAAGAUAUGAAUCAAGCAAUCUGAGGGCCUAGAUGGGGAGAAAAGGGCCCUGAAACAGGGAGAGAUGAAUGUAGCCACCAGCUCUCUGUUUUUUUCUUUAGAGGGGCAGGGAGUCAUUCAACCUAAGAAUUUUUCCUUGCUGUCUUGCAUAUCCCAACAGGCCUCCCUUCAUUCUUACAGUGUGACUGACCUAAAUUGAAAAUAUGAAGAGGACCCAUGGGCUAAAAGGCUAAUUUUUCAUUGUCGGUAUAUACUAAAUUUGUUUAUCCAUCAUCUGUCCAUUGACAGUUGGUUGCCUCCACCCUUUGACUAUUGUGAACAGUGCUGCUAUGAACAUGAGUGUGCAAAUAUACUUUCAAGAUCCUGGUUUCAAUUCUUUUGAGAUUACCCAGAAGUAGAAUCAGUGGAACAUACGGAAGAAGAUUAUGGGCAAGUACUGCAAGAACUGGCAACAGUCUCAUAUUAUGUGGACAACUCUACAAUGCAUGUUUGUUUGGGCUCUCCCUUUUCGCUGCUCCAAACUCCCUGUCCCUGACUUUUGCUUACUGGGUCCAGUCCCCAGUAGAGUAGCUGCUCUUAGGCUUUUGUCUUAGGAGAACUCAGGGGAACACGUGGCCUAUGCUCUGGCAAUAAAAUCUUCUUGCAUUGUCAGAA